This 381-nucleotide unclassified non-coding RNA is filed under the name uncultured Paenibacillaceae bacterium. RNAcentral describes it as "contains 16S-23S intergenic spacer region". The record is from RNAcentral. Lineage: Bacteria; Bacillati; Bacillota; Bacilli; Caryophanales; Paenibacillaceae.
UCCGGUUUGUCACCGGCAGUCGGUCCAGAGGGCCCACCUUUACGUGCUGGCAACUGGACCCAAGGGUUGCGCUCGUUGCGGGACUUAACCCAACAUCUCACGACACGAGCUGACGACAACCAUGCACCACCUGUCUCCUCUGUCUCCGAAGAGCCCAACCUAUCUCUAGGUUGUUCAGAGGGAUGUCAAGACCUGGUAAGGUUCUUCGCGUUGCUUCGAAUUAAACCACAUACUCCACUGCUUGUGCGGGUCCCCGUCAAUUCCUUUGAGUUUCAGUCUUGCGACCGUACUCCCCAGGCGGAAUGCUUACUGUGUUAACUUCGGCACCAAGGGUGUCGAAACCCCUGACACCUAGCAUUCAUCGUUUACGGCGUGGACUAC